RNAcentral lists this ribosomal RNA (599 nucleotides) under uncultured bacterium. Its description in RNAcentral is "bacterial SSU rRNA". It matches the Rfam family "Bacterial small subunit ribosomal RNA", at positions 338 to 959 of the family's 1533-position model. The record is from RNAcentral.
CCUACGGGAGGCAGCAGUGGGGAAUAUUGGACAAUGGGCGAAAGCCUGAUCCAGCAAUGCCGCGUGAGUGAUGAAGGCCUUAGGGUUGUAAAGCUCUUUUACCAGGGAUGAUAAUGACAGUACCUGGAGAAUAAGCUCCGGCUAACUCCGUGCCAGCAGCCGCGGUAAUACGGAGGGAGCUAGCGUUGUUCGGAAUUACUGGGCGUAAAGCGUGCGUAGGCGGUGACUCAAGUCAGAGGUGAAAGCCUGGAGCUCAACUCCAGAACUGCCUUUGAAACUAGGUCGCUAGAAUCACGGAGAGGUGAGUGGAAUUCCGAGUGUAGAGGUGAAAUUCGUAGAUAUUCGGAAGAACACCAGUGGCGAAGGCGGCUCACUGGACGUGUAUUGACGCUGAGGCACGAAAGCGUGGGGAGCAAACAGGAUUAGAUACCCUGGUAGUCCACGCCGUAAACGAUGAUAACUAGCUGCCAGGGCUCUUAGAGCUUUGGUGGCGCAGCUAACGCAUUAAGUUAUCCGCCUGGGGAGUACGGUCGCAAGAUUAAAACCGUCAAAGUAGUAGUAGGCGUGAGACGUGCGACGGACGACACGACGGGAGGAGG